GUGCAAUGGCAUAAGCCAGCUUGACUGCGAGCGUGACGGCGCGAGCAGGUGCGAAAGCAGGUCAUAGUGAUCCGGUGGUUCUGAAUGGAAGGGCCAUCGCUCAACGGAUAAAAGGUACUCCGGGGAUAACAGGCUGAUACCGCCCAAGAGUUCAUAUCGACGGCGGUGUUUGGCACCUCGAUGUCGGCUCAUCACAUCCUGGGGCUGAAGUAGGUCCCAAGGGUAUGGCUGUUCGCCAUUUAAAGUGGUACGCGAGCUGGGUUUAGAACGUCGUGAGACAGUUCGGUCCCUAUCUGCCGUGGGCGCUGGAGAACUGAGGGGGGCUGCUCCUAGUACGAGAGGACCGGAGUGGACGCAUCACUGGUGUUCGGGUUGUCAUGCCAAUGGCACUGCCCGGUAGCUAAAUGCGGAAGAGAUAAGUGCUGAAAGCAUCUAAGCACGAAACUUGCCCCGAGAUGAGUUCUCCCUGACCCUUUAAGGGUCCUGAAGGAACGUUGAAGACGACGACGUUGAUAGGCCGGGUGUGUAAGCGCAGCGAUGCGUUGAGCUAACCGGUACUAAUGAACCGUGAGGCUUAACCUUACAACGCCGAAG
This 594-nucleotide ribosomal RNA is filed under the name Escherichia coli. RNAcentral's name for it is "partial 23S ribosomal RNA". It matches the Rfam family "Bacterial large subunit ribosomal RNA", at positions 2349 to 2925 of the family's 2925-position model. Lineage: Bacteria; Pseudomonadati; Pseudomonadota; Gammaproteobacteria; Enterobacterales; Enterobacteriaceae. RNAcentral also lists the same sequence under 2 other names. The record is from RNAcentral.